UGAGAGGGACGAGUUUAUUUU
Non-coding RNA from Caenorhabditis elegans, 21 nucleotides. Lineage: Eukaryota; Metazoa; Nematoda; Chromadorea; Rhabditida; Rhabditidae. The record is from Ensembl.